UGGAUGCGUAGCUCAGCGGUUAGAGCACCUGUCUUACACACAGGGGGUCAUAGGUUCAAAUCCUGUCGCGUCCAU
Molecule: transfer RNA, 75 nt
Filed under: Chlamydia avium
Lineage: Bacteria; Pseudomonadati; Chlamydiota; Chlamydiia; Chlamydiales; Chlamydiaceae
Description: tRNA-Val(tac)
Rfam family: tRNA
About the family: Transfer RNA (tRNA) molecules are approximately 80 nucleotides in length. Their secondary structure includes four short double-helical elements and three loops (D, anti-codon, and T loops). Further hydrogen bonds mediate the characteristic L-shaped molecular structure. tRNAs have two regions of fundamental functional importance: the anti-codon, which is responsible for specific mRNA codon recognition, and the 3' end, to which the tRNAs corresponding amino acid is attached (by aminoacyl-tRNA synthetases). tRNAs cope with the degeneracy of the genetic code in two manners: having more than one tRNA (with a specific anti-codon) for a particular amino acid; and 'wobble' base-pairing, i.e. permitting non-standard base-pairing at the 3rd anti-codon position.
Source: RNAcentral